CCCUUAGAUGUUCUGGGCCGCACGCGUGCUACACUGAGUGGAUCAGCGGGUCAGGUUGCGCGAAAGUGUUUCCUAAUCUUGAAAUCCGCUCGUGAUGGGGAUUGACGGUUGCAACUUUCUGUCAUGAACGAGGAAUACCUUGUAAGCGCGGGUCAUCAUCCCGCGCUGAAUACGUCCCUGCCCUUUGUACACACCGCCCGUCGCUCCUACCGAUUGAGUGGUCCGGUGAGGCUUUGGGAUCUGAGCGGAAAGAGCGUUUCGCUGUUUCUGCUCGGAAAACUCAGUCGAACCUUAUCAUUUAGAGGAAGGAGAAGUCGUAACA
RNAcentral lists this ribosomal RNA (322 nucleotides) under uncultured eukaryote. Its description in RNAcentral is "partial 18S ribosomal RNA". It matches the Rfam family "Eukaryotic small subunit ribosomal RNA", at positions 1470 to 1796 of the family's 1831-position model. The record is from RNAcentral.